Molecule: transfer RNA, 73 nt
Filed under: Felis catus (domestic cat)
Lineage: Eukaryota; Metazoa; Chordata; Mammalia; Carnivora; Felidae
Description: tRNA-OTHER
Source: RNAcentral
GCCUGAGUGGUUCAGUCAGUUAAGCAUCCAACUAAGCGUCUCACAGUGCGUGAGUUCGAGCCCCACGUCGGGC